This 2061-nucleotide ribosomal RNA is filed under the name Histioteuthis sp. Spain-WK. RNAcentral's name for it is "SSU rRNA". It matches the Rfam family "Eukaryotic small subunit ribosomal RNA". Lineage: Eukaryota; Metazoa; Mollusca; Cephalopoda; Oegopsida; Histioteuthidae. The record is from RNAcentral.
GUAAGUUCACGCCACGCAUUAGAACGGGCGAAACCGCGAAUGGCUCAGGAACCGGACCUAAUCCUCGGGACCGUAAUCCUCCUCGGAGGCGAUGGAUAACUGUGGCAAUUCUAGAGCUAAUACAUGUGACACAGGCCGCGAUCGGUCGACGCGCCGUGGUCGCCUCGCCUUCUUGCGCGCUGGCACCCGCGUCGGCCGUCUUGGGUCGCGGCGCUACAUAUUAGACUGAGACCGAUGCGCGAUUUCCGUCCUCUCGUUGCGGGUUCGCGCUCGCUUCGGGGCUAAAGGUCGGCGCGCUCCGCUUUGGUGACUCUGGAUAACUCACUGGUCGAUCGCACGGGCUUCCACGCCCGGCGACGGGUCCCCCGAGGGUCCGCCCUAUCAACUGUCGACGGUCGGUUAAGUGCCUACCGUGGUUACUACGGGUAACGGGGAAUCGGGGUUCGAUUCCGGAGAGGGAGCAUGCGAAACGGCUACCACAUCCAAGGAAGGCAGCAGGCGCGCAAAUUACCCACUCCCGGCACGGGGAGGUAGUGACGAAAAAUAACGACGCGGGACUCUGUCGAGGCCCCGCGAUCGGAAUGAGUACACUUCAAAUCCGUUAACGAGGACCAACCGGAAGGGCAAGUCUGGUGCCAGCAGGCCGGCGGUAAUUNCAGCUUCGGUAGCGUAUAUUAAAAGUUGGUGCGGUUAAAAAAGCUGGUGAUCGGCGUGUCGUGCCGGUGUAAUUUUAACUUCUCGUUUCGUUGGGGGCCGGUGCUGUUGGUUGGAAUUCGGGUACGUCCUGAGCCGGCCUCUCGCCGUUUCUUUUGCGGCGGCGGUUGUUCGCCGUGCGCGUCCGGGUCCUCACGGGCUCCCUUUUGCUACGCCCCCGUGUUUGCCGUCGGUGAUUUCUCCUCCAAGGGUGCUCUUAACCGAGUGUCCGCGGCGGCCGGUACGUUCACUUUGAAAAAAUUAGAGUGCUCAGAGCGGGCUGUUCAAGCUUGCAUACGAUAAGCAUGGAAUGAUGGAAGAGGGCCUCGUCUACGUCUGUCGGUCUCCGUCUACGGCGAGGCAAUGAUCGAAGGGAGCGGUCGGGGCCACUCGUAUUGCGACGUUAGAGGUGAAAUUCUUGGAUCGUCGCAAGACGAACUGCAGCGAUGGCGUGUGGCAAGCACGUUUUCCUCGAUCAAGAGCGAAAGUCGGAGGUUCGAAGACGAUCAGAUACCGUCGUAGUUCCGACCGUAAACGAUGCCGACCGGCGAUCCGCCGGCGUUCGCUUCCAUGACCCGGCGGGUAGCCUGCGGGAAACCAGAGUUCGGUUCCGGGGGGAGUAUGGUUGCAAAGCUGAAACUUAAAGGAAUUGACGGAAGGGCACCACCAGGAGUGGAGCCUGCGGCUUAAUUUGACUCAACACGGGAAAACUCACCCGGUCCGGACACCGGUAGGAUUGACAGAUCGAUAGCUCUUUCUCGAUUCGGUGGGUGGUGGUGCAUGGCCGUUCUUAGUUGGUGGAGCGAUCCGUCUGGUUGAUUCCGAUAACGAACGAGACUCCGGCCUGCUAACUAGUGCGCCGAUGUGAGUGCGGCUCCUCGCGGGUCGUGUGCGGGCUCGGGGGCGAUUUUUGAUCGUCUCUCGUGUCCGGGUCGGUUUCUCACGCACUUCUUAGAGGGACGGGUGGCAGAAAGCCACACGAGGCGGAGCGAUAACAGGUCUGUGAUGCCCUUAGAUGUCCGGGGCCGCACGCGCGCUACACUGGAGGUAUCAGCGGGGACUUCGCCCCGGCCCGAGAGGGUCGGGAAACCUCUCAACCACCUCCCGUGAUAGGGAUCGGGGCCUGUAACCAACCCCGUGAACGAGGAAUUCCCGGUAGGCGCGGGUCAACAGCCCGCGUCGAUCACGUCCCUGCCCUUUGUACACACCGCCCGUCGCUACUACCGAUCGAACGGUCCGGUGAGGUCCUCGGAUCUGGCCGACGACGCCGCCGGGUAAGGCCUUCGGGUCCCGCCUCGGCGUUCGAUGCCUGGAGAAGACGACCGAACCCGAUCGUUUAGAGGAAGUAAAAGUCGUAACAAGGAGAUC